GACGAACGCUGGCGGCAUGCCUAAUACAUGCAAGUCGAGCGAACAGAUGAAGUGCUUGCACUUCUGACGUUAGCGGCGAACGGGUGAGUAACACGUAAGGAAUCUACCUAUAAGCGGGGGAUAACAUUCGGAAACGGGUGCUAAUACCGCAUAAUAUCUUCUUCCGCAUGGAAGAAGAUUGAAAGACGGCUCUGCUGUCACUUAUAGAUGACCUUGCGGUGCAUUAGUUAUUUGGUGGGGUAACGGCCUACCAAGACGAUGAUGCAUAGCCGACCUGAGAGGGUGAUCGGCCACAUUGGGACUGAGACACGGCCCAAACUCCUACGGGAGGCAGCAGUAGGGAAUCUUCCGCAAUGGGCGAAAGCCUGACGGAGCAAUGCCGCGUGAGUGAAGAAGGCCUUCGGGUCGUAAAACUCUGUUAUAAGAGAAGAACAAAUUGUAGAGUAACCGCUACAGUCUUGACGGUAUCUUAUCAGAAAGCCACGGCUAACUACGUGCCAGCCGCCGCAGUAA
This 513-nucleotide ribosomal RNA is filed under the name uncultured bacterium. RNAcentral describes it as "partial 16S ribosomal RNA". It matches the Rfam family "Bacterial small subunit ribosomal RNA", at positions 28 to 523 of the family's 1533-position model. The record is from RNAcentral.